RNAcentral lists this ribosomal RNA (206 nucleotides) under uncultured bacterium. RNAcentral describes it as "partial 16S ribosomal RNA". It matches the Rfam family "Bacterial small subunit ribosomal RNA", at positions 568 to 774 of the family's 1533-position model. The record is from RNAcentral.
GGCGUAGGCGGGUUCUCAAGUCUGUGGUGAAAUCCUCCAGCUUAACUGGAGAAGUGCCGUGGAUACUGGGGACCUCGAGGUGGGUAGGGGCAUCUGGAACAGCCGGUGGAGCGGUGAAAUGCGUUGAUAUCGGCUGGAACUCCGAUGGCGAAGGCAAGGUGCUGGACCCUCUCUGACGCUGAGGCGCGAAAGCCAGGGAGCGAACG